AUGGCGCGGAAAGGGGAGGGCGCGGGUCCUAAUCCUCCGGCGACGACCAUGAUCUACGCGAUGGUGGCGCGGGGGACGCUGGUGGUGGCGGAGCACACGGCGUACACGGGCAACUUCCGGGACAUCGCGGCGCAGUGCCUGCACAAGCUCCCCGCCGGCGACAGCCGCUUCACCUACACCUGCGACGGCCACACCUUCACCUUCCUCCUCCACCAGGGAUACGCCUACUGCGUGGUGGCGACCGAGUCGGCGGGGCGCGAGGUGCCCCUCGCCUUCCUGGAGAGGAUCAAGGAGGAGUUCAACAAGCGGUACGCCGGAGGCAAGGCCGCCACCGCCACCGCCAACAGCCUCAGCAAAGAUUUCGGGCCGAGGCUGAAGGAGCAGAUGCAGUACUGCAUGGAUCACCCGGAGGAGGUGAGCAGGCUGUCCAAGGUGCAGGCCCAGGUCUCCGAGGUCAAGGGCAUCAUGAUGGAAAACAUCGACAAGGUGAUCGAUCGCGGGGAGCAGAUCGACGGCCUGGUGACGAGGACUGAGCAGCUCCACGACCAUGCCAUGGAUUUCAGGACCGAGGGCACGCGGCUCCGCCGAAGGAUGUGGUACCAGAACAUGAAGAUCAAGCUCAUCGUCGCCGGCAUCGUCGUCGCCAUCAUCCUCAUCAUCGUCCUCUCCAUCUGCCAUAGGGACCACUGCAAGUAG
Molecule: ribosomal RNA, 696 nt
Filed under: Triticum aestivum (bread wheat)
Lineage: Eukaryota; Viridiplantae; Streptophyta; Magnoliopsida; Poales; Poaceae
Description: partial small subunit ribosomal RNA
Source: RNAcentral